AAAACAAAGCGAUAGAUAUAAUGAUUGUUCUAUUUGAAGCAAUCGAUCUGUAUACGAUCAUGUAGUUAUAAUCAAAUUCCAACAAACUUAAUACUAACAAAUAGUCAAUUUUUUCAUUUUCUUUUCAUUGCUUCCUGCACACAAUCUAUUCUACCGGGAUUGGUUGGCUUGAAGCAUGGCUGCUUCGCCCUCGCUGUACACGGGAGAAUCACCAACCUUGGACGUCCCGGCUGGUCUCCAUCCUCCAGUUACGGGGUGAGGCGCGAGGAGCCGACGACCUCCGCCUGCAUUACCAUGGCGCGGCUACGCCGACAGCGCUCGGNN
RNAcentral lists this long non-coding RNA (324 nucleotides) under Hordeum vulgare. Its description in RNAcentral is "long non-coding RNA (HVUL_LNC010556)". Lineage: Eukaryota; Viridiplantae; Streptophyta; Magnoliopsida; Poales; Poaceae. The record is from RNAcentral.